This is a long non-coding RNA of Labeo rohita (rohu), 1068 nucleotides long. RefSeq lists it as uncharacterized. Lineage: Eukaryota; Metazoa; Chordata; Actinopteri; Cypriniformes; Cyprinidae. The transcript has 4 exons. The record is from RefSeq and is a predicted model, not a curated record.
CUAGCAUGUUUCUAGCAUGAUUAGCAAAGUCGCUAGCAUGUUUCUAGCAUGAUUAGCAAGUCGCUAGCAUGUUUCUAGCAUGAUUAGCAAAGUCGCUAGCAUGUUUCUAGCAUGAUUAGCAAAUUGCUAGCAUGAUUUUAGCAUGAUUAGCAAAGUUGCUAGCAUGAUUAGCAUGUUUCUAGCAUGAUUAGCAAAGUCGCUAGCAUGUUUCUAGCAUGAUUAGCAAAUCGCUAGCAUGUUUCUAGCAUGAUUAGCAAGUCGCUAGCAUGUUUCUAGCAUGAUUAGCAAAGUUGCUAGCAUGUUUCUAGCAUGAUUAGCAAGUCGCUAGCAUGUUUUUAGCAUGAUUAGCAAGUUGCUAGCAUGUUUUUAGCAUGAUUAGCAAGUUGCUAGCAUGUUUCUAGCAUGAUUAGCAUGUCGCUAGCAUGUUUUCUAGCAUGAUUAGCAAGUCGCUAGCAUGUUUCUAGCAUGAUUAGCAAAUCGCUAGCAUGUUUCUAGCAUGAUUAGCAAGUCGCUAGCAUGUUUCUAGCAUGAUUAGCAAAGUCGCUAGCAUGUUUCUAGCAUGAUUAGCAUGUUUUCUAGCAUGAUUAGCAAAGUCGCUAGCAUGUUUCUAACAUGAUUAGCAAAGUCGCUAGCAUGUUUCUAACAUGACUAGCAAGUCGCUAGCAAGAUUUUAGCAAAGUCGCUAGCAUGAUUUUAGCAUGACUAGCAAGUCGCUAGCAUGAUUUUAGCAUGACUAGCAAGUCGCUAGCAAGAUUUUAGCAAAGUCGCUAGCAUGAUUUUAGCAUGACUAGCAAGUCGCUAGCAUGAUUUUAGCAUGACUAGCAAGUCGCUAGCAUGAUUUUAGCAUGACUAGCAAGUCGCUAGCAUGAUUUUAGCAUGACUAGCAAGUCGCUAGCAUGAUUUUAGCAUGACUAGCAAGUCGCUAGCAAGAUUUUAGCAAAGUCGCUAGCAUGAUUUUAGCAUGACUAGCAAGUCGCUAACAUGAUUUUAACAUGACUAGCAAGUCGCUAGCAAGAUUUUAGCAAAGUCGCUAGCAUGAUUUUAGCAUACAUUAAUAGAUAGAUAGAU